AGAGUUUGAUCAUGGCUCAGGACUAACGCUGGCGGCGUGCCUAACACAUGCAAGUCGAACGGGCGUAGCAAUACGCCAGUGGCAGACGGGUGAGUAACGCGUAGAUAACGUACCCCUCCGCUGGGGAUAGCCACUGGAAACGGUGGGUAAUACCGAAUGUUCUUAUCGGGAGGCAUCUCUUGGUAAGGAAACUGGUAACG
RNAcentral lists this ribosomal RNA (200 nucleotides) under uncultured bacterium. RNAcentral's name for it is "partial 16S ribosomal RNA". It matches the Rfam family "Bacterial small subunit ribosomal RNA", at positions 8 to 215 of the family's 1533-position model. The record is from RNAcentral.